AUAAUUGAAACCCAGCAGGGAAGAUACCAUGAUCACAAAGGUGGUUUUCUCAGGGUGAGGCCCAUUCAUUGCACUCUGGGUGUGCUGGCUCUUCCUAUUUCCCCAAAUACAGCAAACUCGACUGUGUAAUUUGUGGUAGUGGGAGACUGCAUUUGUGCUUUCCCCUG
Molecule: small nuclear RNA, 167 nt
Organism: Saimiri boliviensis boliviensis (Bolivian squirrel monkey)
Lineage: Eukaryota; Metazoa; Chordata; Mammalia; Primates; Cebidae
Product: U1 spliceosomal RNA
Source: RefSeq, a predicted model, not a curated record